RNAcentral lists this ribosomal RNA (301 nucleotides) under uncultured bacterium. Its description in RNAcentral is "partial 16S ribosomal RNA". It matches the Rfam family "Bacterial small subunit ribosomal RNA", at positions 509 to 809 of the family's 1533-position model. The record is from RNAcentral.
CAGUAGCCACGGGAAUACGAAGGGGGCUAGCGUUGUUCGGAUUUACUGGGCGUAAAGCGCACGUAGGCGGACUUUUAAGUCAGGGGUGAAAUCCCGGGGCUCAACCCCGGAACUGCCUUUGAUACUGGAAGUCUUGAGUAUGGUAGAGGUGAGUGGAAUUCCGAGUGUAGAGGUGAAAUUCGUAGAUAUUCGGAGGAACACCAGUGGCGAAGGCGGCUCACUGGACCAUUACUGACGCUGAGGUGCGAAAGCGUGGGGAGCAAACAGGAUUAGAUACCCGUGUAGUCCCUGUCUCUUAUAA